This 491-nucleotide ribosomal RNA is filed under the name uncultured bacterium. RNAcentral describes it as "partial 16S ribosomal RNA". It matches the Rfam family "Bacterial small subunit ribosomal RNA", at positions 29 to 506 of the family's 1533-position model. The record is from RNAcentral.
AGUGAACGCUGGCGGUAGGCCUAACACAUGCAAGUCGAACGGCAGCACAGUAAGAGCUUGCUCUUACGGGUGGCGAGUGGCGGACGGGUGAGGAAUACAUCGGAAUCUACUUUUUCGUGGGGGAUAACGUAGGGAAACUUACGCUAAUACCGCAUACGACCUACGGGUGAAAGCAGGGGAUCUUCGGACCUUGCGCGAUUAAAUGAGCCGAUGUCGGAUUAGCUAGUUGGCGGGGUAAAGGCCCACCAAGGCGACGAUCCGUAGCUGGUCUGAGAGGAUGAUCAGCCACACUGGAACUGAGACACGGUCCAGACUCCUACGGGAGGCAGCAGUGGGGAAUAUUGGACAAUGGGCGCAAGCCUGAUCCAGCCAUACCGCGUGGGUGAAGAAGGCCUUCGGGUUGUAAAGCCCUUUUGUUGGGAAAGAAAAGCAGCAGGUUAAUACCCCGCUGUUCUGACGGUACCCAAAGAAUAAGCACCGGCUAACUUCGU